Molecule: non-coding RNA, 452 nt
Organism: Hydra vulgaris (swiftwater hydra)
Lineage: Eukaryota; Metazoa; Cnidaria; Hydrozoa; Anthoathecata; Hydridae
Source: RefSeq, a predicted model, not a curated record
CAGAAUUUUUCUCUUUGGAUUAUCAAACUAAUAUCAGAUAAGUUGUUAAAUCCACUUUUAUCUAUAUUUGUUAAUUAAUAUUAUUUUAUUUGUUUUUAUUAUAUUGAUUAAUAAGUCAAUAUUAUUUUGAUAACUAUGUAUUCAACUGAGAGGGAAAUUCUAAAACAACAUAUUGGAUGGAAAAAUGGUUGGGAAGAUAGGUAGGUGCCCAUUCUGUUCCUAUCUUCAGAAGUUAUUUAUACCUAUGCAAUACCUUCGCUCAGGUUAAAGAAUGGAAUACUAGUCUUGCAUCAAAUAUAUUUUACAUAUCCAUUCGAUGUUUAUCACCAGAAGUUAGUUCUACCUUUGCAGUACCUCUGCUCUACAUACCUCCUCGCUGGUUAAAGAAUGGAAUAUAAAUCUCAUAUCAAGUUGGUGUAAAAAUUUAGUUCAAUAAAUUAAGAAUUUGUAAA